RNAcentral lists this long non-coding RNA (5397 nucleotides) under Homo sapiens (human). RNAcentral describes it as "PREDICTED lncRNA (TCONS_00262417)". Lineage: Eukaryota; Metazoa; Chordata; Mammalia; Primates; Hominidae. The record is from RNAcentral.
CAUUAAUAUGAAGGUGAAAUCUGGCUUAUUUGGUAUAAAAAUCAUACAUUAUCAAAUGUAAAAUGGUGUUUUGCUUUCUUUGGACUAUAUGUGCAUAAAUGUGUUAUUGGUAUAUGUUCCAAAUUAUGGGAAACUCCUAUAAUUCUAAUAUAACUUAGUGUAUGUAAUUAAUCAUUAUAAUUGUUAUGUAAAAUUUUGUGUGCCACAGAAGUAACCAAAUUUCCUUAUCAAUUGUGGCUUUAAUAGUGGCUGUCCUAAAACUUUUUAUCAUCUACAGACCAUUGUUGUCUUGUUUUAAUCCUCUUUAGAAGGUGGUUUAUAAUUAACUAGAGAACUCUAGCAGGUGUUCUUAAACGCAGGUUUCUAAUAACUUUGGAAAUUGUAAGAUUAGAAUAGAGGAAACAACUUUUAAAACUCUUAUGAAGAGCUGGAAUGUUCAUGAAUAUCUAAUAGAACAUAAGUUAACUGAAUUAACUGGACCAAUAGCAAACUAACGUAAUCUUUUUAACUUUGCUUAAAUGCUGCUGAUCCGGCCAGGUGCAGUGGCUCAUGCCUGUAAUCCUAGCACUUUGGGAGGCCGAGGCAGGUGGAUCACCUGAGGUCAGGAGUUUGAGACGAGCAUGGCCAACGCAUGGUGAAACCCCAUCUUUACUAAAAAAAAAUACAAAAAUUUGCCAGAUAUUGCCUUUUCUCAAAACUCAAGAGUUAUGAAUGGACCUUACCAUACUGAUGCUUUCUCACUGAGCUCCUGUCUACUCUGAAUGCAAGAAACCCUCAUAGUUAGGCAGGAAUAUCAUAAUCGCUAUUCAGCCUGAAGAAGUUAAAGAAGAUGGAUCUUCAUCCCUCUGCAACUCUUACGAUUAAAGAGUUCUCUUAUAAAAGGGGGGGGGGGGGGGACAUGAGAGGUGUGUGAACCAGAGCAACUCCAUCUUAAAUAGGAGCUGGGUAAAAUGAGGCUGAAACCUACCAGGCUGCACUCCCAGACAGUUAAGGCAUUCUAAGUCACAGGAUGAGAUAGCAGGUCAGCACAAAAUAAAGGUCAUAACAACCUUACUGACAAAACAGGUUGCAGUAAAGGAGCCAGCCAAAACACACCCAAACCAAAAUGGCAACAAGAGUGACCUCUGGUCAUCCUCACUGCUACACUCCCACCAGUGCCAUGACAGUUUACAAAUGCCAUGGCAACAUCAGGAAGUAACCCUAUAUGGUCUAAAAAGGGGAGGCAUUAAUAAUCCACCCCUUGUUUAGCAUAUCAGCAAGAAAUAACCAUAAAAAUGGGCAACCAGCAGCCCCAAAGGGUUGGCUAUGGAACAGCCAUUCUUUCAUUUCUUUACUUUCUUAACAAACUUGCUUUCAUUUUGCACUGUGGGAUCACCCUGAAUUCUUUCUUGCAUGAGAUCCAAAAACCCUCUUGGGGUCUGGAUCAAGACCCCUGUCCUGUAACAAUCCCACUCUGUUCUCCCUGUUCUUUGUGCUCCAGUCACACUGACCUUCUUUUGUUCCCUGACCACAACAUGCUUCCUCCAGCAAUAAGGUGGCUGCCACACUGCUCCAUCUGCUGGGACCCUCCCCUGCCCCAAUGCCUCCUGUAUCACUUUCUUGGGGAAUUUCUCCCUGACUUCCAGGCAAAGCUCUCAUAAACAGUGUUCCUUUCCUUCAGAGCACUUAAUUCAGUUUUAAAGCAAACAUUAUUUAGUUUAACUAUCUGAAUUAAUUAUUUUAGUUAUUUGCCCACUUCCUUCAAUAGACUGUGGAAUUCCUGAAAGCGAGACCAUGCCUGGCUCUACUCACCACUGUAUACCCAGCAAAAUGCCUGGUAUAUAGCAAACACUCAAUAAAUAUUUGUUGAAUGCAUGAAUGAAUAGAAAUGAUAAGUGAAAUGAGCCAGUUACAAAGUGCUUUUACCCUUGAUAAUUUCUUCUUCCCCAACAAACUGUGCAUUUUUUAGUGCAGUGAUCACAUUUCUCUUGUUCUCCAUUUUAUCCUGAAUACUUAGGGUCUGAAACUCCAAAAACAUUUAUUAAAUGAAGGAAUGAAGGACUUAAGCUUCUGAGAUUAAGCAGAAUGCCAAGAGGAGAAGAAUGAGAAAAGCAUUUCUGACUACAGAAAUAGCAAAAGCACUUAUGGUAUUGAUGUUAAAAAGCUGCCAGUAAAAGAAUGUGAUGCCUUAGGAUAUAUGGGAGCACAGCUGGGAGUCAGAAUAGGAAGGGCCACUUCAGCUGUACUGUUUAGGUGAGUAGUUCUCAUGAUGACUCUAAGAAAUAUAAAGCAGAAGCAGCAACCCAGAAAUGGGAGAAGACACAGGUGGGCAUGCAGAUGGUAAAAAAGGGGACUAUCAAGAACAUACUGAAGAGUUCAAAUAACGAAGUUGUCUGGAAAUACAUAAUGUCAGGUCAAACACUGCCAAAUACUGUCCUAAGUCCACAGGGCAUCAGAAUAUCAUAGCAUAGUAAAAUUACUUGAGUCAUCAAAAAAGGACUAAAUUACACUACUACUGCUGAACUACUUACUAAUAUUGGUUGUGGUAGUAGCUGGCUGCGGUUACAGUAGUUAGGAGGAGCAGAAAUGAACAUUUAUUGAGCACUUGCUAUGUAUUUUCUCAUUUUAUUUUCAUUACUACCCUGUUAGAUAGUUUCCACCCUCAUUUUAUACAUGAGAAAAUCAUACUACAUGGGGCUUAAGUAAUUCAUUUAAAAUCAUCCUGCUAGUAGGCGUUAACACCAGAAUUAAAACCCAGCCUGUAGCUGUGAAUCUCACACUUUCAGCCACUAUGUUAUAUUCUGAUUAAGAAAGUACAGAAAGAUGUUAACACAAUUUAGAGAGCUCCUAUGAAGAAUAACUCAAAUGAAGUUUGGCCAGGCAUGGUGGCUCAGGCCUAUGAUUCUAGUACUUUGGGAGACUGAGGCAGGAUGAUUGCUUUAAGCCAGGAAUUCAAGACCACCCAAGGCAACAAAGCUCUUGCAAAAAAUUUGUGCCACUACAAAAAAUUUUAAAAAUUAGCCAAGUGUAGGGACAUGCACCUGUAGUUCUAGCUACUUGGGAGGCAAAGGUGGGAGGAUUACUUGAGCCCAGGAGUUCAAGGCUGCAGUGAACUGUAAUUGCACAACCGCACUCCAACCUGAGCAACAGAGUCUUAAAAUAAAUGAAUAAAAUGUGAUGCUUGAUGAGAUAAGCCCUCAAAUAGCUACAAAACCCACCAACUUUCCCUAAGCAGUCUAGAUGGCUGAGGUCCUAUCAAAAUGAUGCUAAUCCAGAGUUAUCUCCAAUGCAUGACUAUACCAUGUAUUGUUACACACUGGACUGUCUAAUGUAUAGUGGCCAUUAAAAAUGGGCAAAAGAUAAGAACAGCUCACCAAAGAAGACAAACGGUAACAAAUAAGCAUAUGAAGAUGCUCAACAUGAUGUAAUUAGGGAAUUACAAAUUAAAACAACGACAUACCACUACACACCUAUUAAAACAGCUAAAAUUGAAAAUACUGAUAAAAACCAAAUGCUGGUGAGGAUUUGGAGCAACAACUCUCAUUCCUCACUGGUGGGAAUGCCAAAUGGUAUGACCACUUUGGAAGACAGUUUGGCAGUGUCUUAUAUCAUAGGCUUACCAUACAAUUUGUCAAUCACACUCCUACAUAUUUGCCCAAAUGAGCUGAAAACUUACAUCCACAUAAAAAUCUGCACAUGAAUACUUACAGUGCCUUUAUUCAUAAUUCCCAAAAAUUAGAAGCAACCAAGAUAUCUUUCAAUAGAUGAAUGAAUAAAUGAACUGUGGUAAAUCCAUGCAGUCCAUUACUUAACAACAGUGAGAAAUAAGUGUAUCACACAAAGGAUGCUUAAAUGCAUACUGCUAAGUGAAAAAAGCUAGUCUGAAAAGGCUACAUAUGGUAUGAUUCCAACUAGAUGGCGUUCUGUAAAAUGCAAUACUACAGAGACAGAAAAAAGGCCAGUGGUUGCCAGCAGUGGUGGGUAGGGUUGAAUAGAUGGAGCACAGGACAUUUUUAGGGCAGUGAAGCCAUUCUGUAUGAUACAACCAUUAGAGCUGCACAAGAGUGAACCCUAAUGUAUAACUGCUGGCUUUUGUUAAUAAUAUUGGUUCAUCAACUUUAACAAAUGUACCACACUAAUGCAAGAUAUUAGUAACAGGAGUAAAAUGAGGGAUUGGAAGGAUAUGUAUGGGAACUCACUGUAUUUUCUGUGCAAAUUUUCUGUAAACCUAAAACUGCUCUAAAAAAUAGUCGAUUAAAAUUUUUUUAAAAAAACGAAGCAUAGCUCUCCCUCUCCCUCUCCCUCUCCCCACGGUCUCCCUCUCCCUCUCCCCACGGUCUCCCUCUCUUUCCACGGUCUCCCUCUGAUGCCCAGCCGAAGCUGGACUGUACUGCUGCCAUCUCAGCUCACUGCAACCUCCCUGCCUGAUUCUCCUGCCUCAGCCUGCAGAGUGCCUGCGACUGCAGGCGCACGCCGCCACACCUGACUGGUUUUUGUAUUUUUUUGGUGGAGACGGGGUUUCGCUGUGUUGGCCGGGCUGGUCUCCAGCUCCUAACCGCGAGUGAUCCGCCAGCCUCGGCCUCCCGAGGUGCUGGGAUUGCAGACGGAGUCUCGUUCACUCAGUGCUCAAUGGUGCCCAGGCUGGAGUGCAGUGGCGUGAUCUCGGCUCGUUACAACCUCCACCUCCCAGCCGCCUGCCUUGGCCUCCCAAAGUGCCGAGAUUGCAGCCUCUGCCGGGCCGCCACCCCGUCUGGGAAGUGAGGAGCGUCUCUGCCUGGCCGCCCAUCGUCUGGGAUGUGAGGAGCCCCUCUGCCUGGCUGCCCAGUCUGGAAAGUGAGGAGCAUCUCUGCCCGGCCGCCAUCCCAUCUAGGAAGUGAGGAGCGCCUCUUCCCGGCCGCCAUCCCAUCUAGGAAGUGAGGAGCGUCUCUGCCCGGCCGCCCAUCGUCUGAGAUGUGGGGAGCGCCUCUGCCCUGCCGCCCCGUCCGGGAUGUGAGGAGCGUCUCUGCCCGGCUGCCCCGUCUGAGAAAUGAGGAGACCCUCUGCCUGGCAACCGCCCCGUCUGAGAAGUGAGGAGCCCCUCCACCCAGCAGCCGUCCCGUCUGAGAAGUGAGGAGCCCCUCCGCCCGGCAGCCACCCCGUCUGGUAAGUGAGGAGCGUCUCCGCCCGGCAGCCACCCCGUCCGGGAGGGAGGUGGGGGGUCAGCCCCCCGCCUGGCCAGCCUCCCCGUCCGGGAGGGAGGUGGGGGGAUCAGCCCCCCGCCCAGCCAGCCGCCCCGUCUGGGAGGUGAGGGGCACCUCUGCCAGGCCACCCCUACUGGGAAGUGAGGAGCCCCUCUGCCUGGCCGGCCGCCCCGUCCAGGAGGGAGGUGGGGGGGUCAGCCCCCCGCCCUGCCAGCCGCCCCGUCCGGGAGGGAGGUGG